Molecule: small RNA, 24 nt
Filed under: Arabidopsis thaliana (thale cress)
Lineage: Eukaryota; Viridiplantae; Streptophyta; Magnoliopsida; Brassicales; Brassicaceae
Description: ATSL127120
Source: RNAcentral
AAGAAAGAGAGAGAGAAGAGAGAG